Molecule: RNA transcript, 6855 nt
Organism: Nasonia vitripennis (jewel wasp)
Lineage: Eukaryota; Metazoa; Arthropoda; Insecta; Hymenoptera; Pteromalidae
Gene name: methylmalonate-semialdehyde dehydrogenase [acylating], mitochondrial
Exons: 4
Source: RefSeq, marked validated
AUGUAAAAGCAUUCAGCCUCUAGUUUAUGUAUGGGUUGCGUAUAUGAAUGUAUACACGCCUAUGUACAUUCGUAGGCACACCGAAAGUAAGUUUUGUUUGUAUGAGAGAGAAAGAGAAUGAGAGGGGUCAUCUCUUCGCUGCUCUAUGUAAGAGUUAGUCGCCUUCGAGCUACUCGUGUAGACGCUUGACGAAAGCACAUGUCUCGUGCGUGUUAUAAUGAAAUAAAUAUUAUAAAAUUGAGUGAUUAUCUUUUUAUUAAAAAAGGGGAUCUGCCCUAAAAGUGCUCCUUUACCAACAAAUGGUUAUGGGCCCAGAGCACGUAGAAGUCAAGAAGUAAAGUUGACAAAUCAGAAGAAAAAAAAUACUUUGCUCUGUGUGAUAAAUUAAAAACUAAUUAGCCUUGAAAGGAUACCAUAAUGGAAGAACGUUCGUCACAAAUUAUAAACUUCCCAAAGUUAAAUUCGAAUAAUUAUAAUAGUUGGAAGCUGGAUAUGAAAGUUGCAUUGAUUGAUCGAGGAUCAUGGGAAUUCAUUACAAAUGAAGUAGAAGAACCAGCAGAAGGUACACCACGUAUACAAAAAGUUGAUUUCCAGAGGAGAAAGGAACGAGCAUUCACAACUAUAUACCUAGGAAUUGAGAGACAAUUCCAGACGCUGAUCGCAAACACGCUAGAUGGUAAGGAAGCAUGGCAGAUUUUAAAAGAUAACUUUGAGCUGCAAUCACGAGCACGACUCGCAGGCCUUGUCGAUGAAUUUUAUGACAUGAGAUUUAAUUCGGAUGAAGAAACAAUAGGAAUAUAUUGCAAAAAAGUAAGCGAAAAAAAAUUACAAAUAAAAGACGCUGGAUUUGAAAUUCCCGAUAUUCUGAUGUGUUUUCAAUUAAUAAGAAAGUUACCAGCUGAGUAUGAUAAUCUCGUACAAUCAUUAUAUAGAUUGGAUGAUAAUAAAUUUAAAUUUGUUGAUUUGGAAAAACAGUUAAUUACCGAAGAAGGUAGAAUCAAGCAAAAGAAAAAAGAUGAUGGACUAGAUAGCGUAAUAAAUGCAUACCAAACGGGUAAAAAUAUAAUAAUAAUAAAAAUAUAAAAUAUAAUAAACAAGAUAACAGAAACUUUAACAUGCAAAAUAAUGCUCAACAGUCUAAAGAUAAUAAAGUGAAUGUAAUAUGUAGAUAUUGCAAAAAGCCCGGUCAUAUAAAAAAAGACUGCUAUACUUUAAAACGUAAAAAUGAGUAUUCCACAAGAGAAAAUUCGCAAAGUAAUACAAAAGCUUUUUAUAUAGAAAAUGAAUCUGAUUUUUUCGAGUAUGACAAUCAUGAAGCACAAGUCACGAAUGCAACAGAGAACGAGUUUGAUGAAUGGUUAAUAGAUAGCGCAUCAACAUCACAUUUUUGCAAAGAAAAAGAAUGGUUUAAAAACUUUAAAGAAUUACCACCUACAGAUAUUUUAAUAGGAGACAAGAAUGCGAAAUCACAAGUAAUCGGUAAAGGUGAUGUUGUAUUUUACGUAAAAGAUAAUGAGAAAUUUGUCGAAAUAAAAUUGAAAGAUGUACUAUAUGCUCCUAAUAUGAGAAGAAACUUAAUAAGUGGAGCAUGCAUGGACAUUGCAGGUUUUCACAUAGAUUGGAAUAAUAAUAAAAUGAUAGUUUAUACCGAAAAAAGAGAAUAUUACUUUACUGUAUACAGGAAAGGAAAACUUUAUGUAUUAAAUGGAUAUCACGAGAAAAGAAUGAACGAGGUAUAUAGCACUCAAACAUAUUCAAAAGCAAGUAUCGACAUUGAAAAAGCACAUAGAAGACUGUGUCACGUAAACGUAAAUAGUAUCGGUCAAAUGAAGAGCAAAGAAAUGGUACGAGGCAUCGAGAGAAUAAACGGAACAAUGGAUACGUGUGAUGUGUGCCAGGUUAGUAAAUCUACUCGCUCGUCUUUCAAGCAAACGUUUAGAAUCAUGUCUAAAAAUAUAUUAGAAAGAAUUUAUAUGGACGUGUGGGGACCAUCUCCGGUCACGUCAGUUGGCGGAAGCCGAUAUUUUUUGUCAAUCAUAGAUGAUUAUUCGCGAAAAGUUUUCGUAUACACGAUGCAAAGAAAAUCAGAAGUUUUUAAAUAUUUUAAAGAAUUUAUGAGUGAAAUCGAAAGACAACAAGACAACAAGAUAAAAAUCGUUCGUACAGAUAAUGGCUUAGAGUUUUGUAAUAAAGAAUUCAAUGACUUUUUAAUUAAAAAAGGAGUAAGGGUAGAAAGAACUUCGACAUACACACCUGAACAAAAUGGCGUCGCCGAACGCUUCAAUCGCACAGCAAUGGAAGGUGUUAGAGCAAUGUUAGAAGAUAGUGGAUUGCAGCCGAAAUUUUGGGCUGAAGCAUUGCAUACUUUUGCACAUGUCAAAAAUAAGUGCCCGCAUAAGCUAUUGAAAGACUGUACGCCAGACGAGAAAUGGUCGGGAUACAAACCGUCAAUACAACACCUAAGAAUCUUCGGGUCGCUCGCAUAUGUUUACAUUCCAAGUUCAAAAAGAAAUAAAUUACAGGCUAAAGCAGAUUUGGGUAUACUCGUCGGAUACGCAAUAAAAACAAAGGGUUAUAGAGUAUGGCUACCAAAGUCAAGAAAGAUUAUAGAAACAAUACAUGUAAAAAUUGAGGAGAGUAAAAAUGGAGUAAAAACACUAUUUGGAGAAGAGAUGUUAAAUAAACAAUCUAAUGUUAUGAUUAAUCUCGAUAAUGAUGAUAUAUUUCUAAACGAUCAAGUUACUAUAGGUACGAAAAAUGAAGAAAAUGUAACAAAUCAAGACAUGCAAAAUGAAGUUUUAAGAGAUAUCGAUAUGUCAGGAUGGAAAAGAACUGAAAACGCAAGAAAAAUAGGAAAUAGAAUUGAUGUAUAUUAUUACCCUCCAAAUGAUAAUACUAGAUUACGAUCAAUUAAUGAUGUUCGAAAGUAUUGUGAAUUAAAUAAACUUGAAAUUAACCCGGAUUAUUUUUGUUUUGAGGCAACAAGAUCGAGUAACGAUAAAGGAGAUAAUAUAAACAAAAACGAAAAUGUAUUAAACGAGAAUGAAGACGGUGAAAAUAGUUAUAUUUUGGGUCUGAUGGAUGAAAUUCAAUUAGAUGAAGUUUAUUCUGUCGAGGCCCCGAAAAACUUCGAAGAAAGUCAGCUAUCGCCGGAAAAAGAAAAGUGGAAUGAAGCCAUGUGUGAAGAGAUAGAAACUAUGAAGUCUAGACAAGUAUGGACUCUUGUGGAUUUACCGCCAAAUCACAAGGUAAUUGGUAAUAGGUGGGUAUUCACGUUAAAAAAGGACGAUCAAAAUAAUAUUAAAAAAUAUAAAGCAAGGUUAGUAGCUAAAGGCUACAGUCAGAUAAACGGAAUUGACUAUACGGAAAUAUUUUCACCUGUUGUAAAUUUCUCAUUGAUUAGAUUUUUCUUUAUAGUGUUUGUAUCAAAGUUAUCAUGGCGGCAUGUACAAUUAGAUGUAAAAUCAGCGUACUUGUAUGGAAACCUAAAAGAACGAAAUUAUAUGCGACAACCUAAAGGUUUUGAAGUAGCAGGAAAAGAAAAUAAAGUUUGUUUAUUAAAUAAAGCAAUUUAUGGCUUACAUCAAAGCGGAAGAGAGUGGAAUCAAGAAUUCGAUAAUAUCUUAAAAUCAUUGGGUUUUAAUAAAUUACAGUGGUGUAAUUGCGUAUAUAAUUUAGAAAAUAAAGCAUUUCUUUUACUGUAUGUUGAUGAUAUUAUUAUAUUUGUUAAAAAUGAUGAAUUAAAAUGUAAAAUAGUUACAAAAAUAAAAUCGAAAAUCAACGUUACAGAGUUAGGUGAACUUAAAUAUGUAUUGGGCGUAAAUUUUGAAAAAAUUAAAGAUAAAUAUUAUUUGCACCAAAAUACGUAUAUUAAAAAACUGAUGAACAAAUUAAUAGAAUUACCGAGAAACCAUGUUAAACUACCGUUAAAAAUUGGUAUCAUCCCACCGAGAGAAGAAAAAGAAAUAAUUGAAAAUGAUUUAAUGAUAAAAUUUCCUUAUAGAACACUAAUAGGAUGUCUAUCAUUUUUAGCGGAUAGAAGUAGGCCCGACAUAUGUUUUUCAGUUAAUUUGAUGUCACAGUUCUGUACUGCGUACAAUUAUCAACAUUGGAAAAUUGUAGUAGAUAUCGUAAAUUACGUUUUUAACACUGAAAAUUAUAAGAUAAAUUUAUCAGACAUCAAAGAUACAGGUUUAAUUUCUUUUUCGGAUGCGAAUUGGGGAAGUAACCUUAUGCAAAGACAUUCAACGAGUGGAUAUAUAUUAUUUUUCGAUAAUAUUCCUUUCAUGUGGAAAUCUAUCAAACAAAAAUGUAUUGCAUUAAGCUCAAUGGAAUCCGAAUUUAUAGCGUUGGUAGAAAGUGUGAAAGAACUAGUUUGGUUUUCAAAUAUACUUAAAGGUUUAAAUAUUUAUAAUGAGUAUACUAAAAAACCUACUCAAUAUUGUGAUAAUCAGUCUGCAAUAUAUUUUAGUAAAAAUAAUAUCGAAAACAUAAAGACGAAACACAUUGACAUAAAGCUUCAAUUUAUUAGAGAUUGGGUAAAUAAAGAAAAAUUUUAUUUAAAAUAUAUACAAAGUAAGUCUAAUAUGGCUGAUUUUUUGACUAAGCCUUUAUUGCAAACUGAUUAUGAAACCUUUUUGCAAAAACAUAUUUUCUAUUAGAUUAAUCAACGGCUGAUUGAGGGGGCGUAUGUUGAUGUAAAAGCAUUCAGCCUCUAGUUUAUGUAUGGGUUGCGUAUAUGAAUGUAUACACGCCUAUGUACAUUCGUAGGCACACCGAAAGUAAGUUUUGUUUGUAUGAGAGAGAAAGAGAAUGAGAGGGGUCAUCUCUUCGCUGCUCUAUGUAAGAGUUAGUCGCCUUCGAGCUACUCGUGUAGACGCUUGACGAAAGCACAUGUCUCGUGCGUGUUAUAAUGAAAUAAAUAUUAUAAAAUUGAGUGAUUAUCUUUUUAUUAAAAAAGGGGAUCUGCCCUAAAAGUGCUCCUUUACCAACAUAAAUAUACAUGUAACACAGGAUUAGGACUGGAAUCCAAGACGCCCUCUGGGCUGAGCUUGCAUGUCAACAUUCCUAAUACAUAAACAUAUAAAAUUUCUAGUCAUUGUUAAUUAAAGUUUUAAUUCCAUCAUUUUUAAAACAGAAUAACAUACAAAGUGGAAUACUAACUCAACGCCGUAAUCUUGUCUGUUUUUAUUAUUUAAUGCAUUUUACAGAAAAUGUAUUCAAAUAAAUUUAAAGUAUCAUUAAUGUACUGUAUUUUAAUCAAUAUUUGAUUUAAACUUAGUUGGAAAAAACUACGUGCCAAUGAAUUGGCAACGGUUUUUUAAUACACUGUGCGUUUUGUCGCAUUUUUCGCCUUCUGUAUCGAAAUAGUAUAUUUCGAUACGAGUGCGCAAAAGUUGAUUCUACACGAGUAGGAGGUCUCGCUUCGCUCGGGCGACAAUCACACGAGUGAUCACACGAAAUAUACUAUUUUGAUAAGAAAUAGUUCGGAGCGUGCGUAAAAGUGCAUCUUAUGCGCAUUUCCUUGUUGCCCCAUUUUAUUCAAGAGGGUUUAUCAAAAAAUAAUGUUCAAUACAAGUGCGAAAAAGUUGAUUAUACGCAUUUCUAUCGAAAUAUACAAUUUAACAUGCAGUUAAAUUAUAACAAAAUCUACGUUAUAUUGUAUUAUAAGAACAUUAAAAUUUCGAUGUGAAUCAGGCUGAUGACGAUUCAAAACCGUGAAGAUGUUUCAAAUUUAUUAGUUUUAAUUCAACGCGUAAAAUAUUUAGUUGUAUUAUAAUUUCAAUAUUUACAAAAUAAAAAUUAAUUUUUAUUUGUAAAAUAAUGUUGACUUAUAUGCAAUCGACGUAUCGAUUUAUUUUUCAAUUAACACAAUUAUUUAAAAAUACAUUUAUAAAGUUAAGUAGAUGCCAAAUUGUUUCUCUUAGGUUUGAUUACUUAACAAUUCAAAGUUUUUUAAUUACAAGUCCGAAAUGCAUGAAUUUAAGUUUCGGUUCGAGUAUAGAUUCUACGAACCGUCAAGAAAACAUCGAUGUGUUGUCAGGCCUCAGCUAUGUAUACACUAAAUGUUGCGACAAGGUUACCUUACUUCAGUCUCCAAUCAGCCGUACUACAAAAUUUUAGCGAAUCUACAACUGACAAACUUUCUAUCCAUUGUUCUCAAUUAGCAUUACGGGAUGAUGGCAAAACUUAUCAAAAUCAGUACAAAAAACAAGAAAAUAUCGCUAAGAUGUUUCAGCUCUGUUGUUCCGAAUGUCAAACUGUUUAUCAAUGGACAAUUCGUAGCCAAAUAUGAGAUGUUACAAGGAAGAAAUUUUCGGUCCAGUUUUGGUUUGUAUGAAUGCAGCAUCACUAGACGAAGCAAUUAAAUUGAUAAAUGCCAACCCAUACGGUAACGGAACUGCAAUUUUCACAACAAACGGAGCGAGUGCAAGAACUUUUAUUGAUAGAAUUGAAGCUGGACAAGUAGGAAUUAACGUCCCGAUUCCGGUCCCAUUACCAAUGUUUAGUUUCACUGGAAAUAAAAAAUCUUUCUUCGGUGACAGUCAUUUUUACGGCAAACACGGCAUCAACUUUCAUACUCAAACGAAAACAAUAACUCAGCUGUGGCGUGCUGGAGAUGCUACCGAUAUCUCCAGUUCUACAACUAUGCCAACGAUGCAGUAAAGGACCAAAGCAGCGAAAGAGAGAUCGAAAAUCUAUAAUCUAAAUUAUAUUUACAGUACUCUAAAUAUUGACAAAAAAUAAUUUAGACUGAAUAUAAAAUACCUCAUGUAACAAUAAUUUUUAUUAAUAAUGGCUAUAUUAACUUAUGUAUAAUGUUCUUAAUAAAGAUUGAAUGUGUUGUAGUUUUUA